UCAAAACAACUUGAUGAGCAUCCUUACAUUG
Molecule: non-coding RNA, 31 nt
Filed under: Mus musculus (house mouse)
Lineage: Eukaryota; Metazoa; Chordata; Mammalia; Rodentia; Muridae
Source: RNAcentral